This 570-nucleotide ribosomal RNA is filed under the name Alternaria gaisen. RNAcentral describes it as "eukaryotic LSU rRNA". The stretch from base 196 to 349 matches the Rfam family "5.8S ribosomal RNA". The record is from RNAcentral. RNAcentral also lists the same sequence under 1 other name. Lineage: Eukaryota; Fungi; Ascomycota; Dothideomycetes; Pleosporales; Pleosporaceae.
UCCGUAGGGGAACCUGCGGAGGGAUCAUUACACAAAUAUGAAGGCGGGCUGGAACCUCUCGGGGUUACAGCCUUGCUGAAUUAUUCACCCUUGUCUUUUGCGUACUUCUUGUUUCCUUGGUGGGUUCGCCCACCACUAGGACAAACAUAAACCUUUUGUAAUUGCAAUCAGCGUCAGUAACAAAUUAAUAAUUACAACUUUCAACAACGGAUCUCUUGGUUCUGGCAUCGAUGAAGAACGCAGCGAAAUGCGAUAAGUAGUGUGAAUUGCAGAAUUCAGUGAAUCAUCGAAUCUUUGAACGCACAUUGCGCCCUUUGGUAUUCCAAAGGGCAUGCCUGUUCGAGCGUCAUUUGUACCCUCAAGCUUUGCUUGGUGUUGGGCGUCUUGUCUCUAGCUUUGCUGGAGACUCGCCUUAAAGUAAUUGGCAGCCGGCCUACUGGUUUCGGAGCGCAGCACAAGUCGCACUCUCUAUCAGCAAAGGUCUAGCAUCCAUUAAGCCUUUUUUUCAACUUUUGACCUCGGAUCAGGUAGGGAUACCCGCUGAACUUAAGCAUAUCAAUAAGCGGAGGA